This 626-nucleotide long non-coding RNA is filed under the name Gallus gallus (chicken). Its description in RNAcentral is "long non-coding RNA NONGGAT005295". Lineage: Eukaryota; Metazoa; Chordata; Aves; Galliformes; Phasianidae. The record is from RNAcentral.
CGCGGGUGGGGCGGCCCAGCUGGGGGCGUGUGAGGCUGGGCCUGCUUUGGUAAUUCCACAAAGAACCGCUGUCUGAGGAAGUUUAAGGGCCAAAAGGCUUUUUCUGCCCCGAAGGAAGCACCACGCCAGUUCCAUGUCCCCGAGGCACUUUCCGUUCCGAAGGAGCAGCACUGACACCACACAGCUGCUUGGCUUGCCCAGUGGAUUUCUUUAACCCCAUGCCUGGCCAAAAAGCGUGCCUCCCGUGCGGCUCAGAGGCAGCACAGCCCACAGAAGGACAAGAAACAUGCAUCUGUCUUGGGAAAGGCCAGGUGUUUCAGGCUCGUGAUGCUCACUGCACGUGUCCUCCGGGUUAUCGGAGCUCUCUGGAUGGCAGAAGGCAUUGUGUCAGAAGAGCAUAUGAUAUUUGUCAAGAUUCAGCCUCCCGAAAUCAGGAAGGACGGUGUCUAACCAAGAAGGAAUGGGCUCACUAUUGCUCGGAAAAGGUUUGUACUAUUCCCAGGGAUUAUCAAGGCUAUGACAAGGUUCUCGGCCUCUGCAUCUGUCAAACUGACCGACUGGAGAACAUCUGUGAUUCUCAGUGUAGAAGGCAACAAAGAGAUAUCCUGCAAAUCAUCUGUGCAGAG